This 253-nucleotide ribosomal RNA is filed under the name uncultured bacterium. Its description in RNAcentral is "partial 16S ribosomal RNA". It matches the Rfam family "Bacterial small subunit ribosomal RNA", at positions 524 to 776 of the family's 1533-position model. The record is from RNAcentral.
UACGUAGGUGGCAAGCGUUAUCCGGAUUUAUUGGGCGUAAAGGGAACGCAGGCGGUCUUUUAAGUCUGAUGUGAAAGCCUUCGGCUUAACCGGAGUAGUGCAUUGGAAACUGGGAGACUUGAGCGCAGAAGAGGAGAGUGGAACUCCAUGUGUAGCGGUGAAAUGCGUAGAUAUAUGGAAGAACACCAGUGGCGAAAGCGGCUCUCUGGUCUGUAACUGACGCUGAGGGUCGAAAGCGUGGGUAGCAAACAGG